RNAcentral lists this ribosomal RNA (420 nucleotides) under Streptomyces sp. MBT70. RNAcentral's name for it is "bacterial SSU rRNA". It matches the Rfam family "Bacterial small subunit ribosomal RNA", at positions 91 to 527 of the family's 1533-position model. The record is from RNAcentral. Lineage: Bacteria; Bacillati; Actinomycetota; Actinomycetes; Kitasatosporales; Streptomycetaceae.
GAUAGUGGCGACGGGUGAGUACACGUGGGGCAUCUGCCCUUCACUCUGGGACAAGCCCUGGAAACGGGGUCUAAUACCGGAUACGAGCCUCCAAGGCAUCUUGGAGGUUGGAAAGCUCCGGCGGUGAAGGAUGAGCCCGCGGCCUAUCAGCUUGUUGGUGAGGUAACGGCUCACCAAGGCGACGACGGGUAGCCGGCCUGAGAGGGCGACCGGCCACACUGGGACUGAGACACGGCCCAGACUCCUACGGGAGGCAGCAGUGGGGAAUAUUGCACAAUGGGCGAAAGCCUGAUGCAGCGACGCCGCGUGAGGGAUGACGGCCUUCGGGUUGUAAACCUCUUUCAGCAGGGAAGAAGCGAGAGUGACGGUACCUGCAGAAGAAGCGCCGGCUAACUACGUGCCAGCAGCCGCGGUAAUACG